AAUGAAGUGCCUGAUUAAAGGGUUAUCUUGAUAGGAUAAAUAACGUAAAUCUUUACCUUCAUUA
This 64-nucleotide transfer RNA is filed under the name Aularches miliaris. RNAcentral describes it as "tRNA-Ile". The record is from RNAcentral. Lineage: Eukaryota; Metazoa; Arthropoda; Insecta; Orthoptera; Pyrgomorphidae.